This 554-nucleotide ribosomal RNA is filed under the name uncultured bacterium. RNAcentral describes it as "partial 16S ribosomal RNA". It matches the Rfam family "Bacterial small subunit ribosomal RNA", at positions 355 to 900 of the family's 1533-position model. The record is from RNAcentral.
UAGGGAAUCUUCGGCAAUGGACGAAAGUCUGACCGAGCAACGCCGCGUGAGUGAAGAAGGUUUUCGGAUCGUAAAACUCUGUUGGUAGAGAAGAACGUUGGUGAGAGUGGAAAGCUCAUCAAGUGACGGUAACUACCCAGAAAGGGACGGCUAACUACGUGCCAGCAGCCGCGGUAAUACGUAGGUCCCGAGCGUUGUCCGGAUUUAUUGGGCGUAAAGCGAGCGCAGGUGGUUUAUUAAGUCUGGUGUAAAAGGCAGUGGCUCAACCAUUGUAUGCAUUGGAAACUGGUAGACUUGAGUGCAGGAGAGGAGAGUGGAAUUCCAUGUGUAGCGGUGAAAUGCGUAGAUAUAUGGAGGAACACCGGUGGCGAAAGCGGCUCUCUGGCCUGUAACUGACACUGAGGCUCGAAAGCGUGGGGAGCAAAACAGGAUUAGAUACCCUGGUAGUCCACGCCGUAAACGAUGAGUGCUAGAUGUAGGGAGCUAUAAGUUCUCUGUAUCGCAGCUAACGCAAUAAGCACUCCGCCUGGGGAGUACGACCGCAAGGUUGAAAC